Molecule: ribosomal RNA, 469 nt
Filed under: uncultured bacterium
Lineage: Bacteria
Description: partial 16S ribosomal RNA
Rfam family: Bacterial small subunit ribosomal RNA
Source: RNAcentral
GACGAACGCUAGCGGCGUGCUUAACACAUGCAAGUCGAACGGAAAGGCCCUGCUUGCAGGGUGCUCGAGUGGCGAACGGGUGAGUAACACGUGGGUGAUCUGCCCCUUACUUUGGGAUAAGCCUGGGAAACUGGGUCUAAUACUGGAUAGGACCAUGCUGUAGGUGGUGUGGUGGAAAGAUUAGUUUCGGUAAGGGAUGAGCUCGCGGCCUAUCAGCUUGUUGGUGGGGUAAUGGCCUACCAAGGCGUCGACGGGUAGCCGGCCUGAGAGGGUGGACGGCCACAUUGGGACUGAGAUACGGCCCAGACUCCUACGGGAGGCAGCAGUGGGGAAUAUUGCACAAUGGGCGCAAGCCUGAUGCAGCGACGCCGCGUGGGGGAUGACGGCCUUCGGGUUGUAAACUCCUUUCAGCCAUGACGAAGCCCUUGUGGUGACGGUAGUGGUAGAAGAAGCACCGGCUAACUACGUG